This 306-nucleotide long non-coding RNA is filed under the name Homo sapiens (human). Its description in RNAcentral is "non-protein coding lnc-POLI-1:1". The record is from RNAcentral. Lineage: Eukaryota; Metazoa; Chordata; Mammalia; Primates; Hominidae.
GGGGAGGCCUUCUGAGUCAGUGCAGUUUGGAAAGGUCAGUCUGAGGUGUUGACAUUUGAACAGAGAACUCAAAAAAGAGAACAAACCAGUUCUGUGAAAAACGUUCCAAACUUCAGAAUGAUUUGGAGGCAGAAAAUUGUCCUGUGAUGGUUAAUUCAUGUAUCAACUUGACUAGGUCAUGGUGGACCCAGAUAUUUGGUUAAACAUUAUUCUGGGAGUAUCUUUGAAGUGUUUGUAGAUGAGCUUAAAAUUUGAAUCAGCAGAUGGAGUAGAACAGUUUUCCCUCCCCACGGUGGAUGGGCGUCG